Molecule: long non-coding RNA, 231 nt
Filed under: Elaeis guineensis (African oil palm)
Lineage: Eukaryota; Viridiplantae; Streptophyta; Magnoliopsida; Arecales; Arecaceae
Description: long non-coding RNA (EGUI_LNC061300)
Source: RNAcentral
GCUAGGGAUCAUGCCUCCCUCAUUCUGUAUUUUUUUUUUUUUAAAUUUAUAAUAAAGUCAGCAAGCUUUGCCAACUUUAGUCCAAAAUGGAUCUAGGACCGGAUUUUAUUUUAUUUUUUUAACAAGUUUUGAUUAGAAAACUAUCAAGAUAGUGUACCAUCUUGUAUCUUAAAGCCAAAAAAUUUUGCCCUGUUGGCUUCGAUAAAAUGAUGCAAGUAAAUCACUUUAUAU